Molecule: ribosomal RNA, 1012 nt
Filed under: uncultured bacterium
Lineage: Bacteria
Description: bacterial SSU rRNA
Rfam family: Bacterial small subunit ribosomal RNA
Source: RNAcentral
AGAGUUUGAUUACUGGCUCAGGAUGAACGCUGGCGGCGUGCCUAACACAUGCAAGUCGAACGGAUCUAAUGUUGAAAUAGGCUUCGGCUGAAAUAGGUAUUAGAUUAGUGGCGGACGGGUGAGUAACACGUGGAUAACCUGCCCUUGACACAGGAAUAACAUUCAGAAAUGGAUGCUAAAACCUGAUAAGCUCACGCUCCGGCAUCGGAGAGGGAGAAAAUAUUAAUAGGUCAAGGAGGGGUCCGCGUCCGAUUAGCCAGUUGGCGGGGUAAUGGCCCACCAAAGCGAUGAUCGGUAGCCGGCCUGAGAGGGUGAACGGCCACAUUGGGACUGAGACACGGCCCAAACUCCUACGGGAGGCAGCAGUGGGGAAUAUUGCGCAAUGGGGGAAACCCUGACGCAGCAACGCCGCGUGAAGGAAGAAGGCCCUCGGGUUGUAAACUUCUAUCGACGGGGAAGAAAAAAAUGACGGUACCCGAGUAAGAAGCACCGGCUAACUACGUGCCAGCAGCCGCGGUAAUACGUAGGGUGCAAGCGUUAUCCGGAAUUACUGGGCGUAAAGGGUGAGUAGGCGGCACUGCAAGUCACAUGUGAAAUUCCUGGGCUCAACCCAGGAACUGCAUGAGAAACUGUGGAGCUAGAGUGCAGGAGAGGUAAGCGGAAUUCCUAGUGUAGCGGUGAAAUGCGUAGAUAUUAGGAAGAACACCAGUGGCGAAGGCGGCUUACUGGACUAUAACUGACGCUGAGUCACGAAAGCGUGGGGAGCGAACAGGAUUAGAUACCCUGGUAGUCCACGCUGUAAACGAUGAUAGCUAGGUGUCGGGGAGAGAUCUUCGGUGCCGGAGUAAACACAAUAAGCUAUCCGCCUGGGGAGUACGGCCGCAAGGCUGAAACUCAAAGGAAUUGACGGGGGCCCGCACAAGCGGUGGAGUAUGUGGUUUAAUUCGACGCAACGCGAAGAACCUUACCAAGGCUUGACAUGGAGACGACCGGAUAAGAGAUUAUCCUUCCC